Molecule: long non-coding RNA, 21503 nt
Filed under: Nicotiana tabacum (common tobacco)
Lineage: Eukaryota; Viridiplantae; Streptophyta; Magnoliopsida; Solanales; Solanaceae
Description: long non-coding RNA (NTAB_LNC019588)
Source: RNAcentral
AAAAUUUGAAGAACAUCAGCGAUCUUCUUCUACUCAGUGAUUGCUAGGGUUUUUCUUGUGAAGAAAAGAAACAGACAAUGUCGUCAAUGAGUGGUUCCUCUCCGCUCUCUCUUUCUAAAUCGGGCACUACUACUUGUGCCACUCUUCUUCAACAAUUGCAGGUAUUCAUUUCAAACGCCUCCUCUUCUUCUUUUUUUUUUUUUUUGUUUGAAUGUGAUUUUGAAAGUGAUAUUUGGCCCUUUUUUAAAAAAAAUUUCUUUUGGGUAACCAGAGCUUUUUGUGGAGUAGGAUUGGCGUUGUAGGGAGAUACUAUAGGAAUAUUAAAUUGUAUUCUUGAGUAUAUUUAUUCAAUCAGUUUUUAGGUUCUUGUGCUUUCUUUUCUUGUUUCCUUUUUUUUAAUUGUGCGGGAGAUGCAGUAGGAUUUGUUGAGAAUUAACCAUAACUUCGUUUUUAUAGUAAUGUAUGUUUUAAUUAUCAAAUGGGUUUGUUCUUGUUGUUGCUCUUUUUUUUUUUUUUCCUUUUUCUCUUCUCUUUCUGGUAUACACACAUACAUACAUAUCUGCACUCACACACACACACACACAUAGGAGAAGAUCUAAAAUUUAUCGUAGAUAAGAGUUGUAUGCUACAAGCUUGACCUUUGAGGUUUCAGUGGUAUAUUAUUAGAUAUGCCAAUAACCAGAGACAGAGCUAGGAUUUGAAGUUUAUGAGUUCUGAAUUUAUCACUGAACCCAUAGUUUGUCUUAGUUACUGGGUUCACAAUUAAAUAUUUAUACAUAUUUUAUGAAUUUUCUAAUACAAAUACAAGUUUUAAGCAAAAGCUAUUGGGUACGUCCAAACCCCUUCCCUGCCAAUAACGGGUGUAUUCUUUGUUCCACAAAUGAAAUUGUGAAAAACUGACAGUGAAGGAGAGUUCUUAAAGUAGAAAUCUCUUGGUUGUUGGUUUAACGAAUUGGAUGUUUCAACAGUUUGCGAAUGUCAUUUGCCAAAUUUGGUUGAUUGUUGUAUUCGUUAUGGGCUCCUGUUUGGCAUCUUAAGUAUACAUCUUGAUAGCUCGGUUAUUGCUCUAUUUAUUAUUAAGUGUAUUAGAGUAUGUUUAAUUUUUUUAAUAGAAGUUCACGUUUUCUUAAUUUGGAGAAUGAUGCGUUUUGCUCCUACUUCCCCACUUGUGUCAGUAUCGACACCCUCAAGAAUAUAUAUUCUUUCUAGUUUAUUUCAUCUGCUGAAUUAUCACUUAUAUUGUAGGUAGAAUCUAAUCAAAUAAUCUUUCUUUUUUUGUCUGAAGGAAAUAUGGGAUGAGAUUGGUGAGAGUGACAGCGAGAGGGACAAGAAGCUUCUUCAGGUUGAGCAGGAAUGCCUUGACAUUUACCGCAGAAAUGUAGAGAAAGAGAGAAAAUACAGAGCUGAAUUGCAUCAGUCAUUAGCUGAGGCUGAGGCAGAAAUUUCCAAACUUGUUUCUGCCCUUGGAGAACAAGCUUCUUUGCCAUUGGUUUGUCCUUUGUUUCCUUCGAGUUGUUAACCUUCCUGUAUUCAGGUUUUAUAUUUUUUUUUUAAAUUUAUAAUUUACUUUUUUCCUUCCUUUUUAGUCUGGAAAGAUAAAAGGCACCCUUAAGCAGAAAUUGUCUGUCGUUGAUCCUGUGUUAAAGGACAUAAGGACAAAGAAACAAGAAAGGAUUAAGGAAUUCUUGAACAUAGAAACGCAGAUAGCGGUGAUUUGUGCAGAAAUAGCAGGAAAUGACAGAGUUAUUGGCCCCACAGAUAUUCAAGUAGAUGAACAAGACCUGACAGCUAAGAGAUUGGGAGAACUGAAGUCACAUCUUCAGGAACUUCAGUCUGAAAACGUUCCUCAACUGAUUUUUCUGCCUCUUAUUUUUACUGGAAUGAAACAAAUGACUUAUCAUUUCAAUUCAAUCUGUUAACUUUCAUCCUUUAAUGCAGAAACUCCGUUUGCAACGAGUGAAUAGUUAUAUGAGUGAAAUUCAUGAGCUUUCGGUUGUUAUGUCGCUUGAUUUCAAGCAGAUAAUAGCUAAUAUCAAUCCAAGCUUAGUAAAUCAUAUGACUGUACAAUCAAAGAGCAUAAGCAAUGAAACACUUGCUAGCUUGACCAGUGAAGUCAAUUCACUGAAGCAAUUGAAACAGCAGCGGCUAGAAAGGGUGGGUGAAUUAUCAAUCACAAUCUUUCCAGUGUUUCGCAAUUCACAUUUAGUGGAAUAGUCUCCCUAAAAUGUAUAGGGCGCAAACUUGCAGGCUUGUUUUUAAUUCGUUUUGAAUACACUUGCAUGGAUGCUAAUCAUAUCAGUGUACCUAGUGGUGCAUUCGCCUUCUUGUUUACAGCACUAAAUUUGAUAACAUGCAAGUACUGUUCCGUAUCAGUCUCUGGUCACAUGACAUUUUGAAAUAUGUGUUGCUGUUACUCAAAUUUCGGCUAAAUUGCAUGAAAUGAUUAACAGAAUGGUACUUGCUACAAAAUCUUAACAACUAAGAAUAUAAAUGGAUAAGCAUGACUGAGAAUUGUUAAUUAUUCUGCUUUUGUGCCAUUAAUUUCAGAUUUAAACUACCCUAUUUAGAAUGCACUCGUUAAUAUUGAUUCCAUCAGCAGCCAAGCUGUUUAUAUGAUGGAGCUUAUCCCUUUCCUUUAAAUGAUAAAGUCCUCUGUUUCUUGAAACCCGAUCUUUGGAGAAGGUCCAAUUUAUUUUUGUUUAUACAUUGUGGUGAUUGACGCUCGGUCACUUGGAACCUUGCCCCUUGUUUGAUUUGGACAUUAGACCCAUGUUCCAGUGAGUGCACCUGUUUUAUGAAGCGUAUAAAGUGAACUACGGAUAUUUCUAACACACAAGAUAGUAUAACUUCGGUAUUUCAAGGUCAAGAAAAUGUUCCCAGUUUGGAAUCUUUAGGGUAUUUCUGGUCCCGUGUUGAACACUAGAUUAGCACUUAAAUGUCUAUACCGGCAUACAUUUAAUGCUGAUUACUAAAUAAAACUUAACCUUAUAAAAAAUGAUAUUGAUUCUUUUUCAUUUUAUUUUAUUGGUGAAGCUUCAAGAUCUUGGCAGCUCCCUAAUAGAACUUUGGAACCUUAUGGACAUGCCAAUGGAGGAACAACUGAGGUUUAACCAUAUUACUUCCUUAGUUUCUUCCUCUAUUGAUGAGGUAUCUAAACAAGGAUCUCUUGCCAUUCACAUCGUUGAGCAGGUACAUUGAGUCAUUAUUCCUUUCUCUUUUCUCAUCUUAGUCUUUGGGGGAUGUGGGAAGAAAUCCCGCGAAGAUAUUCUUCUGGUUUUCAAUUUCAACUAACGUACUUUCUCUGUAGUCUCUUACUGCUUCUCAUUUCUAUCUUGGUAGGCUGAAGUGGAAGUUGAGCGUUUAAAUGUUCUAAAGACCGGUAAGCUGAAGGAAUUGAUAUUUAAGAGACAAAAUGAGCUCGAGGAAAUUUAUAGGAGUGUUCAUAUGGAUGUAGAUAUUGAGACUGCACGCCAGAUUUUAAUCCAGCUUAUGGAGUCUGGUACAUUCAGUUUACUUUAUGCUCAUUUCUGUUGUGUGACUUGAUGGGAUUUAACUGCUUCUUUCUUAAAACAAAAGUUAAUUUCUCUUGAAAAAUGAUUUUUCUCUUGAAUUAUUCCUGCUUUCAGUUUCCUUAUUUUGUUUCAACUUUCAACAGAUCAUUUGUUCUUCUAUUGUUGUAAUUAUUUGUGCUGGGUUUUAAGUGAGAAACCUGUUAAAUCCAUUUGUGAUCUUUUAGCGGUGGUGUGUAUGUUUUUUGGUAGAGGCAAAUUGGUGGGGGUGAUUCUGAAAAGUAAUGGUUGUUUUGGAUUAGCUUUCAUAUGCUGACAAAGGAAAGAAUCUGCCAUCUCUCAGUCUCACCUGUUAUAAAUUGCAUUUUGACUGUGUAUUAGGCUCUUUACAUCUGACUUGGAAAAGAACAGUUAGUGAGGGAUCUAAGUCCUUAUGUUGGAGAUGAUAUAGUCCUUGAUGGCAUGUUCUGCUCUUGCAUAUCCCUUCUUUUGAAUGGUCAACUCCAAAGAAACUUUUGUUGGUUACAGCUUGAGUUAGCAGUCAAAAUCUCUACCAGAAAUGGAUUUUCUCACAAUAGAUGAGAAGAUUAAAAUCUUCAAAGAACUAUUUCCAGAGGUUCUGAAGGACCUCUAAAUGAGUGGUCAACUGCAACAAGAGAAGGGAUAGGGCAUUAACCUAUGGUCAAUGAGAGGAGGCCUUACCUCUUAGAUGGCCCAAGCAAAUCAUUAAACUAUUGGAUGGAUCCUCCUAACUGGAGUUACAUAUGGUUGAGUAGUGGAUGAGGGCAACAGUUCUAAUAAGUUUAGGGCCUUAGGCUUAAGGUUUCCGCAGCAAAGCAAGUCUACUAGCUGCCAUUGCAGUUACUGAGUACUUAGGUCAAGAGUCCCGAUCUUAGUAGCUUGUAUUCCCCUCCUCACAAGAUAUGUUUUCCCCCCUCAUUUUUGCUCUCUUUUGUUUUCUCCAUGAAUGGCUCCUUAUCACCUUUGGUGAAAUGAAAGAAUAUAUACUAAAAUUGCUGGGAGAAAGGGGUACUGUCAAUAUCAAUUGACAGUUUACAACUUUGAUACUAAUGAUUCGAAAGAGGACAUGUACUUUUUUAGCUGAGUUGUGCUUUCAUUCUCGGUUUCUGUUGAUCUAGUUCAGUAACACACUAGCCCAUACUCUGAAGCAGGAAUGCAAAUGUUUCCAGGCCUCUUGCAUCUUAGCAUGUCUAUUCAGUGUUAUCAAAGGCAAAAAGUGCAAAAAAGCUCUAAGGUAUGUUGGGGCUUUAAGCGCAAAGCGUAAAUAAAGCGUGUGCUUUAACGAAGAAAGGCCAAAUAGAAAAAAACUACAAAUAUGUAUGUGUAGUCCAAAACUAACAUCUAUAAGCAUACCAAAUAUAUGGACUAAGAAAUUGAAGAAUAUUUACAAUAAAGUGAAAUAUCAAUUGUUUAGUGUGGCCUCUUCAGGAUUACGCUCAUUGGCAAGGAAAAGUAUGCCUUAGAGCUUUGAUGACAAUGCUGAAGCGCCCACUAAGCGAGGCGAAGCACUCAAUAUGUUUUAAGCCUCGCUUCAGGGCUUAAGCGCGCUUUUGGCGCGCCUUUGAUAACACUGUCUCUAUUGUUAUAUAUAUCAUCAGUUGAAUUGAAAGAUAGAUUUCAUUGGUAUUAGGUUUACGAUCUCUUAUACAUUCUUUUAUCAUAAUCCAAUACAGGCAGUGAUCUCUCUUAUCUUCUUUCAAGCAUGGAUGAUCAGGUGGUGAAAGCCAAAGAGCAAGCUGCUAGCAGGAAAGAAGUUUUGGAUAAAGUGGAGAAGUGGAAACAUGCAUCUCAAGAGGAAAGCUGGCUUGAUGAGUAUGAAAAGGUAUAACAUCGACAUAAAUAUAGGUGUUUACUUUUGCAUUGUACUCAGUUAUGAAUCAUAUGGAGCACCUGUACAUAAAGGACAUGCAUUUGAAUUUACCUCUUUCAUUUUCGUCUUUUUUAUCCUUUUUGCACCCAUCCUUCAAACAUUCUAAGAUCCUUAUAUUGUAGGUCAACUUUAUAUCUUUCAAAGAUAUGUCAUAAUCUAAUACCUGUUGCAAGCUACUUAGGGAAGUUUGGCAUGUCAAACUUAGUGUAGCCAAAAGUCUGCUUGCGAAGCUCAGUUCAAUGUGGAGUUGGUGCUUCGCAGCAUACACCGUGUACGUUCAUGAGUGUUCUUAAAAGAGGACAACGCUACAUAAUUAAUAUAGUUUGCAAAGCGAUAUCUUAAUUACUAAGAAUUGGAUAAAUAUGUUAGAAUUUUGGCAUAAGAAAUAAGAAAUUGAAAUGAAAAUUAGCAACUAAUGUGAAUCAUAAUUUAAAAUUGUUUUGAACUUGAUUGACAUGGUUUAAAAUUCAUUCCACUUAUUGCAGUUUUUCAAUAUUUUGGUCCAUAUAGGUAUAGUUGUAGAACUAGCAUUUUUCUUCUUUUGGUUACAUAUGAUUUUUUUUAAUUCUUCUUAUCAUCUACGUCCUUUAUUCACUAAAGCUAACACUUCAAUUGUACUUUGUGCUUAAAGCCCUGGUAGACAGAAAUCAAUUGUACUUUGUGCUUAAAGCCCUGGUAGACAGACAGUAUUAUAAGCUUUUUGUGAUAACAGUGGUCAAGCUACAAAAGUUACAUAGAGGCAUGCCUUGCUGGCCUUUUCUAAGUUGUUUGUGCUUAUAGGCUGGUAGCAAAUGCUGUGUUUAAGUGCAGUCAAGUAGUUCUCAAUUGGUUGAUAGCUUAUAUCAAUCAGUCUAAUUAUUCAUUUGUGUAGCUAAAAUUUGGGCAUUGUGGUAGUUGGAUGUGUCCCACAAAUUGUUUUGGGUGCUCUCUGUGAUACCCCAGAUAAACUGACCCUUUCUGUAUUACAUGCUUCUUAUGCUGGCAUAAAAUAUGAAACAUACGUGCAGUCUACAAAACUAGGUGAUAACAUGUUAACUCGAUUUGCUCAUCCCUUCAUCUCUAUCAUUCACUUGAAUCAUGAGUCUUUACCUUUUCUUAUUCCCUAGAUGGCUUGACUAGUUUUAGUUCAGGCGUUUUGAGGGCGUAAUAGAUCUGAUGCUGUAUAAGAUACAGUUUGCAACUUGGCUUCCCACUAAAUCAUGAUUCACUUGUUUUACAGGAUGAAAAUCGUUAUAGUGCUGGGAAAGGUGUCCACAUCAACUUGAAACGUGCAGAGAAAGCGCGGAUUUUGGUCAGCAAAAUACCAUGUGAGCCUGUACUCAUUUAUCUCAUGUGAUGUACACCUCUUCCCUCGUUCUCUCCUGAUCGACCACUAUUAGUAGCUUUGUGAAUCAACUGUUCCCUUUUGGAGGAUAAUCCUAUGCAUAAUUGUGGAUCUAUAUUAAUUACUUAUAUGCAGAAGCUUCUUGCUUUUGCUCAUUGCCCCAUUGCUUUCCUUUUUUUAUUUUCCUAUCUUCAAAUUUCUUCUCUUUUUAUGGUAACAAACAUACUAGUUCACCUAUUUCUCUUUGCAUUCUUUUGGUCCAUUGGGUUGGUUGUCCACUCUGGAAACUAAAUAUUCAGUUUCAGAGAGUGCUUGGUACUUGAAGUUAAAGUACCAUUCAGGUCUACUCAUUUGGUUUUUCUUUUUAUUGUUCCAUGUUACUUGGUAUAUUAUGUAAAUUUCAUUGAUCAGCUAAGCCUAAAAAGGUGCUUGUAGCCUGUAUGUAAGGUGGUAAUCACCUAGUACACUAAUGAAGAACCUGGUAAAUUUUAAAUUCAGGUCUAUUUUCUGCAAUUUUAAUAAUCUAAAGUAUGUUUGAAUAUUCUUUCUAUAUCAGCAAUUAUCAUAUAGUGACUGAAAAAACCUAUAAUGCAGCUCUUAUUGAAAACUUGACCGCCAAGGUAAAGGCCUGGGAGAAGGAGAAAGGAAUGCCAUUUUUGUAUCACAAAGUGAGUUCAACAUUUUCUUUGUUAAAGAUAUUAUUUUGUGGCAGUAGCUUCAGACCAUAACUUUUUUGUGUCUAGGCCCCUCUGUUGCAUACUUUGGAAGAGUACAUCAUCUCACGACAGGAGAAACAAGAAGAGAAGCGUAGAUCUCGGGUAUCACUUUUUAUUCUCCUGUCUGAUACUUGUUUCUGAAUCUUUUUUUUUCUGACGUUAGAGAAGAACUACUCUUAGCCGAGCAAGGGUCUAUAUCAUAAACUUUGCAUUGUUAUUUUGUCUUGGUUGAUUUUGAUAGAUAAUUAGCACUUCUAGUUAAACUGUUGGACUUUUGUUGGUUGCUUUGUGAUUGUGAUUGUGAUCGUAUUAGCAGUAUAUGUUGUGUGAACUAUCUAUUAGUAUGUGUGCUUUAAACUGAAAAUAAUUGUGUUGGAUGUUUUAACCGUGCAUACCAUUGUCAUUAUAGCACAGGAGUUAGAUUUGGAUGCUUGGAUGAUCAACUAUAGUGUAUAUAUUUCAGGAACAAAAACGGCUCCAAGAUCAAUUUGCUGCAGAACAAGAAACAAUCUAUGGUUCAAAGUCUGCCAAGAAACCUCUGGGUAAUGCUAACACAAUACUUGGUACUCCAAAUAGUCGUCGUGUAUCUACACCUUCAGGUCGUUAUGGUGUGUCCAUAGGGAAGGAAAAGAGAGGGAGCGGUAAUGUUGGUGCUGUAAUACCUGUAAACUACGUAGCUCUUGCGAAAGAUGAUCAGAAGUCUGGAGGAUUAUAGACUGAAACUUUGACUCGUAGAAAGAUCAUACAUACUGUUGUUUUUGCACAAACUAAGCCAUUUGUCCUUUGUGGUAGUAUAGCAUAUCAGAAUAAAAGGCCACGCGUAUUCAUUAUUCUUUUCCCAUUUACAGAGGUUUUAGAAGUCUGCUAUGAACUCGGGAAUGAAAAUGCAUAUAUCGUCCUCUUCAUUUUCUUUGCAGAAUUGUCUUAUCAGAUGUCUGGUAAUUUGGCUUUAGUGUUUGGACAUAACUUUAACCAAAUUUUAUGUGCAAAUUUGUAACGGACUAAAUGACCCUUUAGAGUUUUGAGUUUCAAUUUGGCAAAGAAUCCCACAUGCGAUAUUCUUCAGAAAGGAGUUUAGAGUGCUGAUAAUGCAGGCUCAAAGUUUGAAAACGAGAAAUUGCACAAAAACCUAUUUGAUGACAAGGAUGUUAAUAGGGAGUUAUAAAUUACUGUAGUAGCUUAUGCGUUUUGUGAACUUUUCUGCAUAUUCUAAAGUUGGCUGUUAUGUUAGUUGUAGCGCGCCUUCCCUCUUCUCACUUUGGAAAGAUUUUUCAGUAUUUUCUUACGAUGACUUGGUCUCGAGAGUAAAAGAUUUCUUUUUUUCUGUGAGCUUGGUUUACUUGACCGAAGUAUAAUGCUGUAAAUUGUCAUAUAUCGCCUGGCAAAAAGAAAAGAAAAAAGAUCUUACUACUAUUCAGUCACUUGACAAUGAACUGAAUUAUUCUCCUCCCUCCAAAUAUAUAUAUAAAGUUGAACAGAUUUAAUUAUCCGGGUACCAGCUGUAGUUUUCACACAACUAACCAGAAUUCCAGAAACAUUAUAAUUUUUCAAUGAAGUACUAACUGAUAUUAAAGUUAAAAAAAUCAAAGAAAUUGGACUUUGGGCUCAAAUUGUAGUAAUAAUUUGACUCUUCAUGUAACAACUAAGUCAAACAAAUAAAGUACAACAAAAACAAAAAAAAAACAAAAACACUUUUUCUGGGAAGUGGCUGUUUGCACCUGGGUAAUCCUAUUCUUCCCAUUUGGUUUUCUUUUACAUGUCCACUGCAAUUCGUUUAUACAACUCCGCCGGCAAUCUGGGAGUGGCAUCGGCCUGUAAUGGAGUCUUCAUGUAGGUAACAAGCCCAGGGUUCUCACCCAUAUCAAUCUCCUCUGGGCUCAAUCCAUUAGAAGGAGCCCAAUGAAAAUGGUGCAAAAGAUGGCCCAACAUAGAGGUGACCAAGUUGAUACCCAAUUGUGCCCCUGGACAUACUCUUCUACCAGCACCAAAUGGGAGUAGCCUAAAAUCAUGUCCCUUCAUGUCCACAUCUUCCUCAAGGAACCUUUCAGGUCUGAACUCCAAUGGGUUCUUCCAUACCUUUGGGUCGCGAGCAACUGCCCACACGUUUACAUGCACGUUGGAGCCCUUAGGAAUGUCGAAGCCACCAAUCUUGACGUUGGUGUUGGCUCUGUGUGGGAGCAUUAGAGGAGUUGGAGGGUGCAGCCUUAGCGCUUCCUUGGCCACGCAUUGUAGGUAUGGGAGGUUGGGGAAGUCUGUUUCGUUCAUCACACGCUCGUAGCUGACCACUCGGUCGAGCUCUUCUUGGGCCUUCUGCUGCACUCUUGGGUUCUUGAUCACCUCAGCCAUUGCCCAUUCAACAGAGAUUGCAGUUGUGUCCAUUCCAGCUGUGAUCAUAUCCUGCAAUUUCAAUGAGACCAGUUCAGAGUUCAUCCCCAAAAUGGCACUCAGUAUUAUAGGUGUUCAUCUAAGCAUAAUCCAUUAGAUAUUUCAUUUCUCAUUUUAGCUCAUUUUUGUGAAUCAGAGCGACUCGGAGCGCCAAAUGGCUGAAUCUCAUAAGAACGUGGCAGCAAUCAUUUUAGCUCUUUUUGUGAGGUAAGUGUCUAUUAAUUUACUUACCCAAAGUAAGCCAAUGAGAGUGUCUUCACUUAGGUCAUAUUUCUGUUGGAGGGUCAGCAAUGCAUCAAAGAAGUGUUGUUUGGCUCCUCCACUCUGUUGGCGAGCAAGGGUGUGCUCCUCCAUAAUAGCUCGAGUAAGACGGUCCCUACGUGCCCCGUGCUUAGCAAAGGCGUCCUCGUCAAUAGGGAACAUCCAGCGAAGCCAUGGGAUGUGUUCGGCCAUGGCAAGGGAUGCUCCAAGCUUCAAUCCAUUAGCGACAAUCGCCUUGAACUCGUUUCCUUGUUCAUCCAUCACACCUUCAAAGUUUACAAACCUCUUCCCAAAGGCAAGUCUUGUUAUGUUGUUAAAGGCCACUGCUCCAAGGUACUUCUUCACCAGCAGACUCUUCCCCACAUUAUCUACACAAACACCAUAUUCUUAGGCAUUUAGCACCAUAUGUUCACGGUUGAGUACUCGAGAUANNNNNNNNNNNNNNNNNNNNNNNNNUCCAUGGUGACUCGAACCCAAAACCUAACGGUCGUAGGUGGAGGUGCUCUUACCAAUUGAGCAAGCCUCACUUGUACUAGUUGUCGAUAAUAUCAUCUAAAAUAUAAGUAUAGGUAAUUGUCCCAUAAAAGUGGGAUUAGUAGCCUAAAAAAUAAAGGAAGAUACCUGCCAUAACGAUUAAAAUAUAAUUACAUAACGUAAAAAUUCUUUACAUUGUAAUUGCAUCUAUAAGUUAGAUCCUAAUAUAAAAAGCAGUAAGACACCAAAUAAUGAUUUUUUUGCAGGGUGAUCAUAAUGUCACGUGAUCCUCACAUGACAUUGGACAGACCAACUUAGCGAUUAUAGCGGGUCUUUUCAAAGUUUGGUGUACCAUUUUCAAGUACUAUCAUUAACCACCAAACACGCCUGCUUGUUAAGAUGGUCAACUAUUCACCAUUUCUUUUUCUUUUUUUUGCAAAAGGUUAGGUUGAUAUUAGUCAACCCAUCCAUAUUAUUUGACCCCAUUACCCACCAACCCCCUGGGUCCCAAAUAACAAAGAGAACCACCAAGGCACCAAACAUUCACCAAACCAAACGAAAGCUCAACUCCUAAUAAAGAAAGAAUAACUCCUUUUCUUAUCUACAUCCACGUAUAUGGAUGUAUCCAGGAGAUUUACUUAGACUGGACAAUUAGAAAUUUCAAAAUUCCACAUACAGAAGAAAGAAACAAUUCUUUUUUGAAUAUUCCUAGAGCGGGUAUAUUCAGUCGUGUUUUUUCCUUUAAAACUGAAAGAGCUAGAUAUUAAACUUUUUAGGAGUAAAAGUAUAGACAUCUUCAUACUAUAAUUUUUCAGUAAUUUACUAAAGUAAAAAAGGAAAUUUUAAGGCAUGAAUAUUCUAAAAAGGAAACUAUUUUAGUACCUCAAAUACAAAAUAAUCUGAGUGGAUUCUAAGGUUUUAAUAUGGUUUUACUCGAUAAUGUGUCUAAGCAUCAUAGCCAUUACAGUAAAAACUAAUAAACGGAAAUUAAAUAACCAACUGAAAAUACAUAAGAACAUUAAACAAAAGAGGAAGGCUAAAUUUUAGUAAAAACGUACCAGGAUUAGUGCAAUCUCUGUAAAUGGACUCCACCAUAGCAGUGACCUCAUCUUCUCGAAUGGGCCUAAGGGCUUCAAGCCUUUUGGGCGUAAAAAGCUCGAUUGUACAAACCUUUCUAACCUUAACAUAAUGAGGGCCAUAAUCGGCCCAAAUAAGAUCUUGCCCGUCUCUGCUAAACUUAGCCGCCGAUCGGCUCCUGUGCCGGUCAGCCAACUGCUGGUCCUUUUCUUUCAGAACUUCCUUAGCUAACUCCGAGCUGGAAACGACGACGUUUAAGGUCGACCCGAACCAAACCGAAAUGAUAGGUCCGUAGGUUUGGGCCCAUUCGUAAAAGCAUCGAAACCUGACGGGCUUUAUCUGGUACAGAUUUCCGACGAUGGGCCGUGGACUUGGGCCCGGCGGAAGCUUGAAUCGGAGACGAUAGUAAAGGUGAUAAGCUAUAAAUGUGAAAAUGAAAGCUAAAGGAAUUGCAACAGCUAAAGAAAUAGCCAUUGUUAGUGAUAUUUGAGGAUUAGAAGGGUAGGAGGUUUUAUAUAACAACUGAGACAGAGGGAAAAGGGAGGUGGAGGGAGUUGGUGAAGGGUAUUUUAGUCUUUUAAGGAAAUGGUUGUUGGUGCUUUUGGUGAAGAGUAUUGUCUUGGUUUUAGAAAAUGGAAAACACGAAGGGUUGGGGAUUUUAAAUUUGAAAAAGAAAAUUAGGCAUACGAAUCUUGUGAAAUUUUGAUUGGUGAGGAAAGUGUAUAGGGUGAGUUUAUCUAUUAGUAAUAUCUUUGGUUAAUAGUAGUAUUUAUUUUUUUUAAAGUUUUUUUCCCUUUUAAGCAAGAUAUACAAUAUCCUUAAUUAUUACGAAAUUUCUCUAAAAUACCUUUUAUUCCAAUAAAUGUUUCAUUAAUUAGAACAAUAAGGGCGAAUAACAACAACAACGACCCAGUAAAGUCCCACUAAGUGGAGUCUGGGGAGGGUAGUGUGUACGCAGAUCUUACCUCUACCCCGAUAAUAGGGCAGAGAGGUUGUUCCCGGUGAAUAUGAAAAAAAAAUUAGUAAAUACUUUUUGGAAGGUUAAAUAUGUUGAAAUAAAUUAAGUUUGAUUAAACGAUUAAUACUCCGUAACAGGACUGAAAUAUAUAAAUAGGAAAAAAGGUAAAAAUAUCUAACACCUCUUGUUUAAACAUUUUGACUAACUCUUGACAAUGGGAGUUUGACGCAAAUGCAAGAGUGUUCUGAUUUAUUGUCAAAUAGCCCAUGAUGUGCUCUUUUUUUUUUUUUUCCGAAAGGAGGAAUAAAACAAAAUUUAAUUAUUGAUCUUCACUUAACUUUUUAGUGUUUAAGACAUAAUUCUCAAUAUAACAAUAACCUCCCUCCUUUUGUCUUUCAAUGCCAAUGUUAGUAACAUGUAUGAUGUUUUGAAUAUUUUAUCUUCUAUGAAAAUUUUUACGAACUUAUUAUAUCCUGACGUUAUUGAGGAUGUUCUUAUAUAUGACAAAUUUUAUUAAACAAAACAAAUGCACUUAGUUCACAUUCGAUCAAGCUAUUUAAUUAAUCAUCGUGUCUCCACGGUUAAUAUAAACAUACAGCGCAUAGCAAGGUUUACAUGAUGCCUAAGAAUUCAAAUUCAUUUAGCCUUGUAUUUAAAUGAGGAAUAUGAAUAGUGAGAAUCAUAUAGUUGAUUCAUCUUAUUUGAAAUUCAGGUAUACUUAUUAUUGUUGUAAAGACAAAUGAGCUAUACACGAGCAAUGGCUGAGCUAGGGAGGCAGAAGAGUUCAUCCGAACCCCCUUCUCUCGAAAAUUACACUGUGUAUGUGAGGUAAAAAAAGUAAUAUAUGUAUACGUAUAAGAUGUUGAAUCCCCUUGGCUUCUCCACAUAUUUAAUUUUUUAUUUAUUUUUUGAACUUCUUUGUAAAAAUUCUGGCUCUGUCAAUAUAUAGGAGCGCCCACACAGACGUAUUCUUUUUUAGCUUUAGGAGCAGUUGUUGGAAAUACUAAUGAAGAUUGGAAAACAAUAUGCCCGCCCAUAGAACGAUGUGGUUGGUAAAAUGGACCCACCUUAAGUAGGUAUCCAGUAUGGGAAUUAAGGUAUAGCCAAUGAAAGGUUUACAACUCUUUUUUUUCCAAACAUGCGGGCAAACUGCAAAAUUGAAAAAAAAAAGGGUGAGAAAAAUGGAAAGAAGUAAGAGUAUAUUAAGAGAAGCUGGGAUAGAACAUAUAGAAUUGUUUUUACUGGUAAAACGGACCCACCUUAAGUGUAUAUAGUCACUAGUGGAUAGAGAUCAGUACAUAAUACAUAAGAUUUACCUAAAUAACAUAUACAGAUGACUCAUACGGAAUAUGAUCAUUUAACUAAUUCAAUUAAAUUGAUUGUUGACACGCAGAAUAUUUCUCUUUGAAUAAUAGUAUUACAAAAACUUACUGGAAUAUAUAUAUACUAGGUCAUCUACCAAUAUAUAACAUGAAAACUAAAUGGUUUGUCCUAAGAGAUGUCAGAACUUGAGCUUGAAGUGUCCUGAGGGGCUUCAGAUUGGACCUCAACUUGGGGAGCAGGAGCUUCUGGAGCAGAGCUUUCAACUUCUGGUGCAUUUGGUGCUUCAGUUUCUGGUGCUACUGAAGCUUGAACAACUUCUGGUGCAGUUGGUGCUUCGGUUUCUGGUGCUACUGAAGCUUGAACUAUUUCCGCUGGCUUAAACUUGUUGAUAUAGUAGCUAAGGGAUGGUCCUGAGUACUCCAUUGUUUGUACCGGAGGAGGUGAGUUCUUCCCGACUUGAAGGAGUAUCGAUGAAGCAGCUGCAAUAGAGAUUAAGGCUAUCCCAGCUGCAAUAGCUGCUGUGUUCUCUGCUCCAUCAGAAGUGGAGCCUGCACUCCCAGAGCUGAUACCACUUUCUGCUACAUAAACUGCAGGCUGUUUCCAAAGUGAGCAACGUUAGCGACGCAGAUAACAUAACUGAAUCCAUACAGGUCUUCAGAUAAUAAUAUUUCCUCUAAAAAGGGCUAAAAGAGGAUGAUGAUUCAGUGUGAUACUGCCAAGAUAUACUCUCGCCCAUCAUAUAUUGUACCGAACUAUUCAGUAGCUGAGAUGGAUUUUGGACAGAAUCACAUUGAUCCUAAAUGAAGUGAGAGGCCAGGGGGCAGGGAAAAGGGCCGAGUUGAUCAGCAUUGGCAAUCAGGAGAAGCAAAACGGCUUGUCUUGUGGAAAAGCAGAAGAGCAAUUGGUAUGUUAUGAUUCAUCGCAUGACUCCUUUCUAGAAUCCUGAUAUGUCCAAGAUUCAAUUCAUGAUAUCUCUAGAAUAAAUACCUUAGGGCCUGAAAAUUUGAGAUCUGAGAUCUCUACAUCCUCAGCUUUACAUAGCCUACAUACUUUAGUUAUGCCAUCCUGGCUCCAUAUAUUGUCCCAAGUGAAAUAGCAAAGGAUGUAAGGUAUGAAAGUUAGAUUUAGAAUCCUGAUAUUUCCUAGACCAGAUUCAUGAUAUCUCUAGCAUAAAUACCUUAGACACUGAGCAUGUGAGGUCUGAGAUCUCUAUACUUCCUCAGCUUUACAUGGCCAACAUCCUUGAUCUUUUGGCUAUGCCCACCUGGCUCUAUUCACUUGAAUAUACUACUGUUUAUCUUUUUCAAACAUGCUGUGAAUUGCUUUUUACCUCCACAAGGUAGGGGCAAAGUGUGCGAACACAUUGGCCUCCCCGGACCCCACACUGGUUGUUGAUGUAUUUUUUUGUUUACUAUUCACUAGAAUAAUGGAAGAUAGAUUUAGCCCGUGCGGAGAAAAGCUGAGAAUUAGAAUAAAGCUAGAAAUAUAUAAACCCUCCUUCUCAAAACUAGAUUUGGUCUAGUGCAUAUGUGGAUUAAGAAAACUCAUAUGGGUGGGCCUUCCAGCCCAAUACCUCACAGUAAAAAGUGAAACAGCCUACAACCAUUUACUCUGUCCAAGCAUCACUAUAAAUAACUUGCAGUUGCAGUGGUAAUACUAUAUUGAUACUUGAAGCUGAACUUCAACAAAAUGAAAUAAAGAUUGAUUCGUUUUUGUAAUUCAACAGACAGAUUUCACUACGAGAUAGUUUCUCAUGUGAAGAGCUAAGGCAUGCCAUAAUCUGAAACUUCCUUUUGCUCCAUACCAUCUGAACAAUGUAGUUUCAGGAGAACUUAUGUAAUUGCAGAACAUAGAAGUACUAACCUCAACAGAGUAUAUAUUUGUCUGCCCAGCAGUAUCCUUCUCAACAUACCCAGUCCAGCCACGCUUGCGAGGUGGAAAGGUCCCAACCACUUUGGUGUUGUCCCCAGCUACCCACUCCAUGCUCACCUUCCCAACCUGUUUCAAAAGAAAAAAAAAUCGUAUCAAUACUUUUUCCAGUGUGAACUACCAUCUUGCUGGACAGUAUUGACAUACAAUGUCGAUUCAAUAAUGAUUAUUAUAAAAAGCUCUAAAAUAUGGGCUGAGGAGACAUAAACUCAAAAUUACUACAAAAAUUGUAUAGGUAUUGUUUGCAAACUUUUAUAUUAUUGAUGAAAAAUAAUGAUUAAAUGCUUUUGGUACAUUUGAAAUGGCUUAACAGUGAUACUGUGAGCUAUCGACUGUGCUUUUCCUUUUUUCCCCCCGACUUAUAAGCUUAAUAUCGGCGAAGGAGCUAGCUGAGAAGUUCUUUAAAUAUUAAUGUCUCAAAUACAAUGUCUUUUUUUAUUAGGAAUGUCUGAAUUUUAAUGUUGCACAAAAAGGCAAAAGCUACGAAGAAAUGUACACCAAGUUUGCUCCUUCCUUCUCAAACUCGCUCUAAAGGAGAUACGAAGGCUUCAUUAUCCACAUCCUUCUAACAGCUAGUCAUAUCAAAUGGUAUUUCUCUCAAUAAAUCUUUCCCCAAAAAAAAAUCAAUUUGCUCUAGUUUUUUCCUAAUUCGUAGCAACAUACUUAAAGAUUUCCUCAUUAGAUAAGAAAAAAAAAAGUAUUCCAUGUGUCUCUAUAUGCCUAAACUAUUACAAAUCUCCUUUGCAGCUUUUUCCAGAACUGGCUCGCCGAUCUUAUACAUUCUAAAUGAAAUUAAACUGCUUACUGCUGCCAUCUUGACAAGUUGUAGCAGUAGACAUAAACAUAUCAUUAUCACUCAAAAGAGCCCGUGCACAGUCUUUAACUAAUUUUAAUAAAAUAGUCUAUAAUUACAACACUAUAGUAUUUUCUUCCCCCAAAUAUUCAUAAGUAGCCAUAAUUGUUAGCCAUUUUGAGAAUUCUCUACGUAUUUAAACAAUUCCUCAAAAAUUCAAGAAAAAAGAAAAAAAUUCACUCGAGGGAGUACAAGACUGUACAUUCCCGCUUGCGUUUUCAAUCUGUCAACAAGUAUUAAUCUACAUACACAAAUUCAACAAGGAAAAGAAGUAGUAUAUAAUUAAGCAAGAGGAAAAUUGACCUCCUUAUCAGGGGCACAUUCUUCAUCAUUGCAAUCAGCAUCAUCAGUUGAAGCUGCCCUAAUUCUGAAUCGGAUAAGACUCUGCCUUUGUCUCAACUUUGAGUCUUUCUGAUAUGUGGAAAAGCUCAAUCGUCCACUCGAAGAUGAGGCUAUGGCGCAGCUGUUUGCUGAUAACGCAGCGCAAGCCAUUAUUUUUUUAGCUGCCCAACAAAAGCUUUCAAAUGGUUGUGCCUAUUAUGUAUAUUGAGGAGAUGAAGCAGAACCACUUGUAGAAUUUUUUGCUUCUUCGAUUGGCUGUGUUUGAGCCUCGAAAAUCCUUUCCUUUUGAGGAUGCUUUGGUUUUUGUGGUUUGAUUUGAAUGCACGUUGAGUGGGUUAUGUGUCCUACAUUUCACUCUUUCUAAAAGUAUUAAAUGACAACUAUAUCCCUCUUUGUCAUUUUGUGACAUCCAAAAUGGAGUACUAAAUUUUGAUUAUUAAAAUUGAUUAAAUAUAAGAUUUUGCGAAAAGUAUGGUUUUUAGCAGAAAUAAACGGCACUAUAUGAGAUAUAAUAAAAUUUAGAGAUUAUAUUUAAGGAAAAUAUUUUAUGUAAAUAUGCAUUGAAAUAAAUUUCAAGAUAGUUUUGUUUGUAUUUGGCACGUUAUGUUUGUGACAAAUAUAUUGUGAAAUAACAUUGCUUGUGAAAAUUCUAAAUUGGCUGAGCUAAGCAAGUGCGAGCAGCCAAAUAUUCCAUGGUGUCUCUUACGUUCAAUUGCGUAUAUCUAAGAUCGCUCCACAGAAAUGUUGGAGUUUUGAGCGGGGAAAAAAAUUUAAAAUUUUUGAAAAAUUCAUUGUCAAAAAAUUAUCAAAAACUUGCAAAAUUCAAAGACAAACGGGGCCUAAAUUGAAUCGAAGUGGGCACAUGACAAAUUAUACCACCAUAAUAGUCGAUGAAGUAAAUUAAAGCUUAAUAUAUGUGGAUGGAGACCAGUCUUUCCUUAUUUUGUACCACUGCGAGACCAAUUUGGUAGGGUUUUGUCUAAGAUAGUUAGUGGCAAUGUUGCAUCUUUCUUCUAAAUUUCAUGUUGUUCUUGUUUUUCAUAUGAUAUCUUUGCUGAUACUAAUAUUUUGUCCUUUUGUUUUCUUGAGCCGAGAGUCUUUCGGAAACAGUCUCUCUACUCCUUCGGGGUAGCGGUAAGGUUUGCGUACACACUAUCUUCUCCAGACGUGAGAUUUUAUUGGGUUGUUGUUGUAAAAUAAUAUAUGCCAGAUAAAUCCAUCUCAACCGCCUUGCGGGCAGUUCAAUUGCAUGAGUCGCAAUCUGAGUUUCUGAGUUUUAGCAUAUGUUUUAGGUUCGAGUAAUCAAAAAGGUCAUGUACGGUUAUUAGUGAGUCUGGAGAAGGCAUAUGAUGUUUACCAUUGUUCUCAUUAUUAUUAUUUAAUAUGUUUAUACACUGAUAUAUUCACUUUUAGCCCACGCGAAAACUAUAUACAUUUGGUAGCUGAAAAAAUAUAUAAACUUUGUAUAAUUUUUGCAUAUAACAUACAAUUAUAUAUAUAUCGACUAUUAUUUUGAGAGCGGUUAUACAACUGCUAAGCCCAAUUCCCAAAGUUGACCGGGACCUCAUUUUCAAAGACUCUGUAGACAUUUAAUUGCUCAUGCACAUGAUGAACAUAGUAUUUUUCAUUUAUUUGUUUCUGACAACAUUUACUCUCCGGUCCAACCUCAUUAAUUUCUUUCCGGUUCCAACGCUUUUCAUUUCUUCCUUUGCAGCCACAUUUUCUCUAUCACACACACAAAAAAUGUCCAUAGCUAACUUACCUGAUUCCGCAAGCGGAGUAAUUAGCCUCAGAUAUGGUAUGGCCAUUAUCAUUGGCAUUUUGAUACUCAUUUCUCUUAUCAUGUUUGCUUCCUACGCUUGUCUUCGUCUCAAAUUAGCUGCUUCUUCUAACACUGAAGACUUCACACCUGCAUCUUCCAAUGGGGCUAUAUAUAGUUACUUCCUAGGAUUGGAUCAGCCCGUUAUAGAGUCAUUUCCCAAAGUGGUUUUAGGUGAAAGCAAGAGAUUGCCCAGUCCAAUUAAUACAAAUCUAUGCGCUAUUUGCUUGUGUGAGUAUUGUGCGAAAGAUUUGGUUCGUUGUAUACCGGAAUGUCGACACUGUUUUCAUGUAGAUUGUGUUGACGAAUGGUUGCGGAAGAGUGGGACUUGUCCAAUUUGUAGGAACUCUCCAGCUAAUUCUCCAUCUGUCGGUCCAACUUCGACUAUGCCUAGUAAUAUUCCUCUUGCCCAAUUAGUACCCUUGGCUUAUUAUCAGAGAUGAUGUUGUUGCAAAGGUGUAGGUUUAAAUUAAAUAGUAUAUAUAGUACUUCUUGUUUUGAAUUCUGUUUUCUUAUUACAAUUUGUGUACAAUCUUGUUCCUAAAUUUAUGUAGAAAUUGUACGUUUAAGUUCUUGUUUUAAAUUUUAUCAUUCUCCAUUUUUUGUUACCUUUGAGUGCUGUGUAACACAUUUCGUGUUUUUAAAAAUUAAGUCAAGAAUAGCGCAUUAAAUAGUUAACUUCAGAAGUAUAAUAGAAGUUACAAUCUUUUGGUUCGUGGCAAGGGGUAUGUAACUGGAAAUUGGUCAAAGUUCAGGAAGAUAUCUAUACAUUUUCCCUAAAACAUACAUAAAGUUCUUGUUCGGUUGUAUGUUUACACUAACAUAAAAUUCAUUAUUACUCGUAUACGGUUUAGCUGUCAUUUUUGUUGCCCGCCUAAGUAAAUACAUACAUGACUUAUGUAGGUAUCUAUGUAUUAUUUAUACAAGAUUGAAUAAGAAUACAAGAUCGGUAAUGCAUGAGUUUAAGCAACUAAAUUUUUCAAAACUCAUGUAUUCAACAAUCUUUUUAUAAAAAAAAUUAAACAAGCCACAUAUUGAUUAAAAAAAGGGGAAAAAAGAGAGAGAACAAAACCACAUAAUUUUCCUUUAAAUUAUACAUCGUCCAAGAAAUAAUAUUCCUAUACUAAUUCAUGUACUAUAAUCAAUGUACUAUUGCAAUACUAUCCCUAAAUUACAAUCCAUGUUAUCCCCUGCAUAAUUUAAUCAAACUGGCCCCAAGGGCAUUUGGAGGAAGAAUUCUAUUCCGUAGUAUAAACUUUUAGGCGUCGUUUGUUCGUAAUUUUCUUCUUCUUUUUUUCGGACAUUUAUUUCAAAAACAUGUUUGUCCAUGAAAUUCUUUAUUGAAAAUAAGUUUUUCAAAGACUGAAAAAAAUUUCAAGACUUUUUUCCUACUCACAAAACUACAACAUUUUUUCAAAUAAAAUACAAGUCCAAACAUAAUUUUAAAUUCUGAAUAUCAUUUUUCAACUUAACUACAAAUAUUAUUUUUUUCGAAAAUUUUAAUUUUUAUAUCCAAAUGCCCUACUUAGUUUCUUGACUUAACAGACUGAAAGUAAGCCCUGACCCUCCUAAUUUCUCUUCCAUAACUUUAGAAAGCCUCUCAAACAUGGAAGGUGUAAAAUAAUUGACCCAAUCCCCAAUCUCACCUUUCCUAAACAAAUUCCUGUUUUCAAAAUCUGAAAUGGCCCCUUUACCUUUCUUAUUUACUUGUAAAUCCCUCAAGUUCUGAAAACUACAAAGAGAUGACACAUCUUUUAUAAUUCCUCCCUUUUCCUCCUCCUUUGUAAAAGGAAAUCCCAAGAAAUCAGCUAAUCUCUUCAAUUGAUUACACACAUCCAAUUUCAUAUCCUCAUAUUUUAAAAACAAGACCUUAUUUGGAUUUUCUAAACUUUCUCUCCAGUACCCCAACAUAUGUUCCCAAUAAGGACCAAACCCUAUAACUCCCCUACAGUACAAAUCAAAGGCUUCCUCAAGAGUAAAAGGACCUAAAGAUUCAGGUCUAAUUUUGACUAGGUAAUGCCAAACUGAAACAAAGGCGUCAAAAGGGUUCCGACAAAUGUAAACAAUUUUGCAUUUUGAGGUCUUAACUGAAUUUGGUAAUGCCCCAAAAGGGACGUGAGUAGCAACAAGGCGUGGAGAAGGUAAAAGAGAGAGAUCAGGAAGGGAAUUAAAAUCAGCGUAAAGUUUGUAUUCAAGAAAUGGGACAAGUUCGUGAGGAUUAUGAGUGAGUAAAGGGUGAUUAAUAUUCUUUUGUUGGACGUUGAAUUUGUUGCGGUUUACAAUGGAGAAAGUGAGUGCUUUUAGCCAUGUAGUGCCAGAUUUUGGUAUGGACGCGAGAAUUAGGUCGUUGUCUUGAGCUUUAAAGUGUUUUUGUGUCGAAAUUAUGGCUCGGAUUUCUUUGGGUUGACACCAAAAGUUUUGGAAUAGGAAAAGAUUGGGUGUUCUCCACCCUUUUUCUUUGGGAAGAGAAUUGAAAAACUCAUCAAGAUCGUCAGUUAGAGUUUCUUGUGGUUGUUCACUUUUGGAUUGGCUUUUGAGGAAAUUUGUAAUAGUCAUUUUAGCUAGCUAAGUUAUCGAGGGCAAGGAUAUGAUUUGCAUGAGAAACUAGAGCUAUAUAUAUACUAGUAGUGAAAUGGUCUCGG